GUGCCAGCAGCCGCGGUAAUACGUAGGAGGCAAGCGUUGUCCGGAAUCACUGGGCGUAAAGCGCGUGUAGGCGGUGCGGGAAGUCUGCUGUGAAAGCGCCUGGCUUAACCGGGCGAGGUCGGCGGAAACUCUCGCACUGGAGGCCGGUAGAGGGGGGUGGAAUUCCCGGUGUAGUGGUGAAAUGCGUAGAGCUCGGGAGGAACACCCGUGGCGCAGGCGGCCCCCUGGGCCGCGCCUGACGCUGAGACGCGAAAGCGUGGGGAGCGAACGGGAUUAGAUACCCCAGUAGUCC
Molecule: ribosomal RNA, 292 nt
Filed under: uncultured bacterium
Lineage: Bacteria
Description: partial 16S ribosomal RNA
Rfam family: Bacterial small subunit ribosomal RNA
Source: RNAcentral